This 74-nucleotide transfer RNA is filed under the name Spirochaetaceae bacterium. RNAcentral's name for it is "tRNA-Arg". It matches the Rfam family "tRNA". Rfam says of the family: Transfer RNA (tRNA) molecules are approximately 80 nucleotides in length. Their secondary structure includes four short double-helical elements and three loops (D, anti-codon, and T loops). Lineage: Bacteria; Pseudomonadati; Spirochaetota; Spirochaetia; Spirochaetales; Spirochaetaceae. The record is from RNAcentral.
GCGUUCGUAGCUCAGAUGGAUAGAGCGACGGACUUCGAAUCCGUAGGCCGCAGGUUCGAGUCCUGUCGGACGCA